Molecule: transfer RNA, 52 nt
Filed under: Blomia tropicalis
Lineage: Eukaryota; Metazoa; Arthropoda; Arachnida; Sarcoptiformes; Echimyopodidae
Description: tRNA-Gln
Source: RNAcentral
UGGAAAAUAGUGUAAAGCACAUUAACCUUUGAAGUUAAAAGAAACUAUCCAA